ACCAUCUCAGCUACUGAACAGUCAGGUUCCAGGUAGCAGGGUAACAACCAUCUCAGCUACUGAACAGUCAGGUUCCAGGUAGCAGGGUAACAACCAUCUCAGCUACUGAACAGUCAGGUUCCAGGUAGCAGGGUAACAACCAUCUCAGCUACUGAACAGUCAGGUUCCAGGUAGCAGGG
Molecule: long non-coding RNA, 179 nt
Organism: Oncorhynchus tshawytscha (Chinook salmon)
Lineage: Eukaryota; Metazoa; Chordata; Actinopteri; Salmoniformes; Salmonidae
Exons: 2
Source: RefSeq, a predicted model, not a curated record